UCCGAGUUGACCCCGGCAGUCUCCUGCGAGUCCCCGCCAUUACGCGCUGGCAACACAGGACAAGGGUUGCGCUCGUUGCGGGACUUAACCCAACAUCUCUGUCCUGUUCCGCAUAUGUCAAGCCUUGGUAAGGUUCUUCGCGUUGCGUCGAAUUAAGCCACAUGCUCCGCUGCUUGUGCGGGCCCCCGUCAAUUCCUUUGAGUUUUAAUCUUGCGACCGUACUCCCCAGGCGGAAUGCUUAAUGCGUUAGCUGCGCCACCGACGGGCAAGCCCGCCAACGGCUGGCAUUCAUCGUUUACGGCGUGGACUAC
Molecule: unclassified non-coding RNA, 311 nt
Filed under: uncultured bacterium
Lineage: Bacteria
Description: contains 16S-23S intergenic spacer region
Source: RNAcentral